GCUGUGGGCGCCGUUUUUGAACUGGUUACAGCAUCGUCUUUAAGGCCCAGAAGAAAAAUAAUGAAAAUGUUUAUCAGCCAAUACAACAAAACCGCAGCGAUUUGGGAUUGCCCUAUGCCCAGAGGCCAUUUGGGGGUCCGGAACAGCUCUUCGUGGUAUAAGGAAAAGAGCGGAAGUGAGGCGUGGGCUCCAGGUUCAAAGAUGGCGCUGAGCGGCCGGGCGCAGAGGCAGGACCGCCGCAGGCCUAGUGGGCCAUGCUGGUCCGGAGAACCGGCCGGGCUGGAAGCAGCCGACUACUCCAGAACUGUACUUUGCGCCAUUUGAGUUGGCAUCAUUUCCAAUGAAUGGAAUGAAAUAGAUCAUACACAGAUCGAACGUGGGAUUGAAUGGAUGGGAGGCCUAAUAAUAAAUUUACAU
RNAcentral lists this long non-coding RNA (417 nucleotides) under Mus musculus (house mouse). Its description in RNAcentral is "long non-coding RNA chr2:30048961-30049378". Lineage: Eukaryota; Metazoa; Chordata; Mammalia; Rodentia; Muridae. The record is from RNAcentral.